RNAcentral lists this ribosomal RNA (395 nucleotides) under uncultured bacterium. RNAcentral describes it as "bacterial SSU rRNA". It matches the Rfam family "Bacterial small subunit ribosomal RNA", at positions 30 to 429 of the family's 1533-position model. The record is from RNAcentral.
AUUGAACGCUGGCGGCAUGCCUUACACAUGCAAGUCGAACGGCAGCACGGGAGCAAUCCUGGUGGCGAGUGGCGAACGGGUGAGUAAUAUAUCGGAACGUGCCCAGUCGUGGGGAUAACGUAGCGAAAGCUACGCUAAUACCGCAUACGAUCUAUGGAUGAAAGCGGGGGAUCGCAAGACCUCGCGCGAUUGGAGCGGCCGAUAUCAGAUUAGGUAGUUGGUGAGGUAAAGGCUCACCAAGCCGACGAUCUGUAGCAGGUCUGAGAGGACGACCAGCCACACUGGGACUGAGACACGGCCCAGACUCCUACGGGAGGCAGCAGUGGGGAAUUUUGGACAAUGGGCGCAAGCCUGAUCCAGCAAUGCCGCGUGCAGGAUGAAGGCCUGGUUGUAAC